AUGGCCACCAGGCUCCUCUGCUGUGUGGCCCUUUGUCUCCUGGGAAAAGAGUUUACAGAUGCUGGAGUCAUCCAGACACCCAGGCACAAGGUGACUAAGAUGGGACAAGAAGUAACCCUGAAAUGCCAGCCUAUUUCUGGUCAUGCAGCCCUUUACUGGUACAGUCAGACCUCAGUGCAGGGACCGAAGCUGCUGAUCUACUUCAACAAUCAAGUUUCUAUAGAUGCCUCGGGGAUGCCCAAGGAAUGGUUCUCAGCAGAGAUGUCUAACAAAUCAUUAUCCACCCUGAAGAUCAAGCCCACAGAACCCGGGGACUCAGCCACAUACCUGUGUACCAGCAGUCUGUGGAGCAACCAGGCCCAGCACUUUGGAGAUGGUACUCAACUCUUGGUCCUCGAGAAUCUGGAAAAGGUCAAACCUCCCACGGUCACAGUGUUUGAACCAUCCGAAGCAGAGACCUCCCGAACCCAGAAGGCCACACUCGUGUGCCUGGCCACCGGCUUCUACCCCGACCACGUGGAGCUGAGCUGGUGGGUGAACGGGAAGGAGGUCCAGAAUGGGGUCAGCACGGACCCCCAGCCCUACAAGGAGCGGCUGGAUGAGAAUGACUCCAGCUACUGUCUGAGCAGCCGGCUGAGGGUGUCCUCUGCCUUCUGGCACAACCCUCGCAACCACUUUCGCUGCCAAGUCCAGUUCCACGGGCUCGGGGACAAUGACGAGUGGCAGAACAGCCAACGGGCCAAACCCGUCACCCAGAACAUCAGUGCCGAGGCCUGGGGCAGAGCAGACUGUGGCUUCACUUCGGUGUCCUAUCAGCAGGGCAUCCUGUCUGCCACCAUCUUCUAUGCGAUCCUGCUGGGGAAGGCCACCCUGUACGCUAUGCUGGUCGGUGCCCUGGUGCUGAUGGCCAAGGUCAAGAGAAAGGGUUCCUGAAACUACCUCAGAGGCAGAGGCGGGAGCUUCCAGCUUGCUAUUCCCCAAUAUGGAUUCUCCUUUUUUGACUUCUAGCCAGUGCUUCUCAAGAGCUGUUUUCAUCUCUCCGCUCACCCCAAUAGUUACCCACUAUGCUCCUGAACACCUGGACGCUGGUGACCCAAAUCUCCCUAACCCAGGGGGACCCCUAGUGUGACUAAAUUGACUAUUGACUGAAUCAAUAAAAAUGAUGUGUUCUGGCUUGACUCCG
This is a non-coding RNA of Neogale vison (American mink), 1183 nucleotides long. The record is from the annotation of a RefSeq genome assembly. Lineage: Eukaryota; Metazoa; Chordata; Mammalia; Carnivora; Mustelidae.